Molecule: transfer RNA, 86 nt
Filed under: Klebsiella aerogenes
Lineage: Bacteria; Pseudomonadati; Pseudomonadota; Gammaproteobacteria; Enterobacterales; Enterobacteriaceae
Description: tRNA-Leu
Rfam family: tRNA
About the family: Transfer RNA (tRNA) molecules are approximately 80 nucleotides in length. Their secondary structure includes four short double-helical elements and three loops (D, anti-codon, and T loops). Further hydrogen bonds mediate the characteristic L-shaped molecular structure. tRNAs have two regions of fundamental functional importance: the anti-codon, which is responsible for specific mRNA codon recognition, and the 3' end, to which the tRNAs corresponding amino acid is attached (by aminoacyl-tRNA synthetases). tRNAs cope with the degeneracy of the genetic code in two manners: having more than one tRNA (with a specific anti-codon) for a particular amino acid; and 'wobble' base-pairing, i.e. permitting non-standard base-pairing at the 3rd anti-codon position.
Source: RNAcentral
GCCCGGAUGGUGGAAUCGGUAGACACAAGGGAUUUAAAAUCCCUCGGCGUUCGCGCUGUGUGGGUUCAAGUCCACUCCGGGUACCA